Molecule: ribosomal RNA, 468 nt
Filed under: uncultured bacterium
Lineage: Bacteria
Description: partial 16S ribosomal RNA
Rfam family: Bacterial small subunit ribosomal RNA
Source: RNAcentral
GACGAACGCUGGCGGCGUGCUUAACACAUGCAAGUCGAACGGAAAGGCCCUGCUUUGGUGGGGUGCUCGAGUGGCGAACGGGUGAGUAACACGUGAGUAACCUGCCCUUGACUUUGGGAUAACUUCAGGAAACUGGGGCUAAUACCGGAUAGGAGCUCCUGCUGCAUGGUGGGGGUUGGAAAGUUGCGGCGGUUGGGGAUGGACUCGCGGCUUAUCAGCUUGUUGGUGGGGUAGUGGCUUACCAAGGCUUUGACGGGUAGCCGGCCUGAGAGGGUGACCGGCCACAUUGGGACUGAGAUACGGCCCAGAGUCGUACGGGAGGCAGCAGUGGGGAAUAUUGCACAAUGGGCGGAAGCCUGAUGCAGCAACGCCGCGUGCGGGAUGACGGCCUGCGGGCAGUAAACCGCUUUCGGCUGUGACGAAGCGUGAGUGACGGUAAUGGGUGAAGAAGCACCGGCUAACUACGUG